Molecule: ribosomal RNA, 405 nt
Filed under: uncultured prokaryote
Description: bacterial SSU rRNA
Rfam family: Bacterial small subunit ribosomal RNA
Source: RNAcentral
UGGGGAAUAUUGGGCAAUGGGCGAAAGCCUGACCCAGCAACGCCGCGUGAGGGAAGAAGGCCUUCGGGUUGUAAACCUCUGUCCUUGGUGACGAAAAAAAUGACGGUAGCCAAGGAGGAAGCCCCGGCUAACUACGUGCCAGCAGCCGCGGUAAUACGUAGGGGGCGAGCGUUGUCCGGAAUUACUGGGCGUAAAGGGUGCGUAGGUGGCCUUUUAAGUUGGAUGUGAAAUACCCGGGCUUAACUUGGGGGGUGCAUCUAAUACUGGAGGGCUAGAGUGCAGGAGAGGGAAGCGGAAUUCCUAGUGUAGCGGUGAAAUGCGUAGAUAUUAGGAGGAACACCAGUGGCGAAGGCGGCUUUCUGGACUGUAACUGACACUGAGGCACGAAAGAGUGGGGAGCAAACA